GAUGAACGCUAGCGGCAGGCUUAAUACAUGCAAGUCGUGGGGCAGCAGGACUGUAGCAAUACAGUUGCUGGCGACCGGCAAACGGGUGCGGAACACGUACGCAAUCUACCCAGAACUGGUGAAUAGCCCUCCGAAAGGAGGAUUAAUACACCGUAAUAUCAUAAAGUGGCAUCACUUAAUGAUUAAAGCUACGGCGGUUUUGGAUGAGCGUGCGGCCCAUUAGGUAGUUGGUUGAGGUAAUGGCUCACCAAGCCUGCGAUGGGUAACUGGUGUGAGAGCACGACCAGUCACACGGGCACUGAGACACGGGCCCGACUCCUACGGGAGGCAGCAGUAAGGAAUAUUGGUCAAUGGACGCAAGUCUGAACCAGCCAUGCCGCGUGGAGGAUGAAGGCCCUCUGGGUUGUAAACUUCUUUUAUGGGGGACGAAAUCACUUAUUCUUAAGUGUCUGACGGUACCCCAGGAAUAAGCACCGGCUAACUCCG
Molecule: ribosomal RNA, 486 nt
Filed under: uncultured Flavisolibacter sp.
Lineage: Bacteria; Pseudomonadati; Bacteroidota; Chitinophagia; Chitinophagales; Chitinophagaceae
Description: bacterial SSU rRNA
Rfam family: Bacterial small subunit ribosomal RNA
Source: RNAcentral